Molecule: long non-coding RNA, 545 nt
Organism: Clupea harengus (Atlantic herring)
Lineage: Eukaryota; Metazoa; Chordata; Actinopteri; Clupeiformes; Clupeidae
Source: Ensembl
UUGCAGGAGAGGGUCCAAAAUGCGUGCACGUGGUGUAGUUUGCACUUAGUGGAAAUGCAAAUUGGAUUGGCACAUCCUGGCAGAGCUAAAGUUGCCAAUGGAAAAAAAAAGUCUCAGCAGGGGAGAAUGACUGACAGUGCUCCAUAGAGAGCUGUUUGGAGAUGUAGAAACUGGAGAAAAAAAACCUCUGCAGCAAUAAACAGGAUAAGAGACGUAGCAGAAGGCCCUGUCUCUCCCUUACCUGCUGGGAUGAACGUGAUACAGUGUAACACUCCCACACUCCACCCACAACGGCAACGGCCUCUGCCUCCGGCACGGAACCGGCCCCGACCCGGCCCAAACCAGGCCCUGGUAUCGCCCUCCCCCUCGUUACCGUGGCAGCGAGUGAUUGAGUGCACUGGUGCCCAAUCGUCCAUCAGAACCUUAAGGUUAAAACGCCCCCUAACAGCCAUACAGAUGGUGCCUGUGGGCCAGGCGACAGCGCUCAGGCUGUGUGUGUGUGUGUGUGUGUGUGUGUGUGUGUGUGUGUGUGUAUGUGUGUGUGU